Gallus gallus (chicken) is the source of this 1441-nucleotide long non-coding RNA. RefSeq lists it as uncharacterized. NCBI's taxonomy places the organism in Eukaryota, Metazoa, Chordata, Aves, Galliformes, Phasianidae. The transcript has 2 exons. The record is from RefSeq and is a predicted model, not a curated record.
AUCGGGUUUUUUGUAAAUUAAAAGGUACAUUCACAGAAAUGCAAAGGCACUCAUCUGAGUCUGGUUUGGAAAGUUAUCCAUAAUAAAACCAUUAAAAUACAGAGCAACACAAGUUAAUGGUUACUUGUGAGCUUGUGUACUUCAUUAUUUUCUUUUAUUACAUUAAGUAGGGAAGCAUCUUGUGUAAGCUUUUCCUAAAGACAUAAAGAGACCUUUCAAUUGAAUUUAUUGCUUGGCAAGUUCCUGGUUGUGGUGCUGUAAAAGCCUCACCAACUAAUACAUAUAAUAACUGGAGUUAGGCUUCAUAAUAGUAGAAAAAUAUUACUCUGCGGAAUUAAAAUGGAACUGCGGGUUCCAGUUGACUGUCAGAUACUUUUUCAAUCUAGGCAACAGAAUUCAAAUAACAGAUUACUGCACUAAUUUAUAAAUAGCCACAAAUCAUUUCCCCAGUGAACGAAAAGCCCAUUUACCCUGUGCAUUCUCUCUGCGUGUGCACAGUAUGCUUUAGGAAUGACUGAAUUAAGAUGACCUGCAGUGGCCAAUCAAGCAGGGAGAAAGAAAAUGAACUUCAAGUUGAUACUGAAGCAGCUAAAGCCCUUUCUUACACUUUCCACCAGCUAGGAAGCAAGCCAACUGUUCUGCAGGACCUCUAUUUUUUUAAUAUAAUCAAGCUCAAGCUUUUCAUUGUAUAGAAAACCAAAGUACUUACUCUUCUCCCUUUUACUAGACGCAGUACUUCAGAAGCUACAGAAGUAAUCUUCCUUUCGGUGCUGCAGAGGUGCCUUUGCAAGUGAGUGUAUGAGAUGCACAGAUGUGGGUGUAUCACAACAAAGUAACACUAUUUACACUGGAAUUGUGAUGUGGCAACACAACACAGGAAUUUGUGAGACCAAAACCUCAGGUCUGCAGUAUGAAAGCCGGAGCCUGUGGCAGGUAUCAACAAUGCUCCCGUGGAAAGGAAAAGGCUGUAUCUCUGUCCCAUCAAACUGUGGUGGAGAGCAGUGGACCAGGACUUGCCACUGGGCACAGAGAUGAUCCAGAGACAAGGGAGGACAUGAGGAGACCCUGGACAGGGACAAGGCUAGGAAAGGAGUGGAUUACGCUGCUUUACUGGAGGAUCAACACCACCUUUCAGCCUUUCCUCAGUUCAGAAGGGCACUGUAACACCCGUCUCCCAGCAGCAUCAGCAGCCAGAGGAGCCCCAAAACAGCUCUUCUCCUCCCAGCACCUGAUCUCAGUAUGUGGUCCAGACACAGGAUCCAGGAUUUUCCUCUUAUAUAAGGGAUGGCUUUACUUUACCCUGUUCCAGACAUCCAGAAGUUGCACUUCGGUUUCCUCUCAGGCACCAGGGAAGGGAAAUGUGCCUCCAAAGUGGGAGUCAGUCCAUCCCAGGAAGGUGCCAAGGAGCCAAUGAUGGACAUUAAAAUCCAGACAACAUAAA